CUACGGGUUGCAGCAGUGGGGAAUCUUGGACAAUGGGCGCAAGCCUGAUCCAGCCAUGCCGCGUGAGUGAAGAAGGUCUUCGGAUUGUAAAGCUCUUUUGCCAGGGACGAUAAUGACGGUACCUGGAGAAUAAGCCCCGGCAAACUUCGUGCCAGCAGCCGCGGUAAUACGAAGGGGGCUAGCGUUGUUCGGAAUUACUGGGCGUAGAGCGCACGUAGGCGGGUCGUUAAGUCAGGGGUGAAAUCCCGGAGCUCAACUCCGGAACUGCCUUUGAUACUGGCGAUCUUGAGAUCGGAAGAGGUGAGUGGAAUUCCCAGUGUAGAGGUGAAAUUCGUAGAUAUUGGGAAGAACACCAGUGGCGAAGGCGGCUCACUGGUCCGAUACUGACGCUGAGGUGCGAAAGCGUGGGGAGCAAACAGGAUUAGAUACCCCAGUAGUC
Molecule: ribosomal RNA, 439 nt
Filed under: uncultured bacterium
Lineage: Bacteria
Description: partial 16S ribosomal RNA
Rfam family: Bacterial small subunit ribosomal RNA
Source: RNAcentral